RNAcentral lists this non-coding RNA (260 nucleotides) under Gottschalkia purinilytica. RNAcentral's name for it is "Clostridium purinilyticum T-box sequence". It matches the Rfam family "T-box leader". Rfam says of the family: Uncharged tRNA acts as the effector for transcription antitermination of genes in the T-box leader family. T-boxes are found upstream of many aminoacyl-tRNA synthetase genes and some amino acid biosynthetic genes usually in Gram-positive bacteria. Lineage: Bacteria; Bacillati; Bacillota; Tissierellia; Tissierellales; Gottschalkiaceae. The record is from RNAcentral.
UGAAAUCUAAUGAUUGGAAGAGUAAACAUGCCUUAGUUUUAAGCGAACUAGAGAAUGGUGUGAGUCUAGUAACGGGUUAUGUUGAAAAGAGUCCAUGAAGAUAUACUUUGAAAAUAUUUAUCAUUAUAUGCAUAAAUAUUAGUAUAGGUAUACAGUGACAACUGUUAAAAUGCUAGAGAGAGAAUGAAUAAAUAUACACUAUAAUCAUAAUAUUCAUUCUAAUAAGAGUGGUAACGCGAAACAAACCUUUCGUCUCUUAA